RNAcentral lists this ribosomal RNA (204 nucleotides) under Tetraselmis astigmatica. Its description in RNAcentral is "partial Eukaryotic small subunit ribosomal RNA". It matches the Rfam family "Eukaryotic small subunit ribosomal RNA", at positions 249 to 451 of the family's 1831-position model. The record is from RNAcentral. Lineage: Eukaryota; Viridiplantae; Chlorophyta; Chlorodendrophyceae; Chlorodendrales; Chlorodendraceae.
AAUCAUGAUAACUCGACGGAUCGCACGGCCCUCGUGCCGGCGACGCAUCAUUCAAAUUUCUGCCCUAUCAACUUUCGAUGGUAGGAUAGUGGCCUACCAUGGUAUCAACGGGUAACGGGGAAUUAGGGUUCUAUUCCGGAGAGGGAGCCUGAGAAAUGGCUACCACAUCCAAGGAAGGCACCAGGCGCGCAAAUUACCCAAUCC